This 1350-nucleotide ribosomal RNA is filed under the name Triticum aestivum (bread wheat). RNAcentral describes it as "partial small subunit ribosomal RNA". Lineage: Eukaryota; Viridiplantae; Streptophyta; Magnoliopsida; Poales; Poaceae. The record is from RNAcentral.
AUGGACAUGGAGAGCGAGACGGUUUCGCCAUCCGGCCACAAGACGGAGACGGAGACGGAGACCGAGUCCCCGACCCGAGGAGAGGAGAGGAUACAGAAUAAAUUCUUGGGCUUGGGCGGCCCUCUUCCUCGCCACCGUACCGAGGAGAUGCAUAAUACUAGUAGUACUACCCAACAACAAAUCAACAAGGCCGUCGACUCGGCUUACCUUGUUGAUAAUGCUGACAAGGCCCUCGGCUUUCUCAUCCAUGAGACGCAACGGUUGCGCCGUCGGAUUCAGUCCCGGCUGAGCAAUUCUCAAGAUGAAGAUGAAAUCCACCGCGUGCCCUCGGACAAGCUCCAAAAGAUUCGUCUCAUGUCCACCGCAUUGCUCAGCAUCUUACAGCUUAUAAACACCCACAUAUCUCCUCCUCGUAACGACAAGGAGGACGAAAUUCCUUGGCAUCUUCGUUUUCACGAUUCCGGCUGGGAGUCCACGUGGGGAAGCCGACCGCCAGCCCAUGGCACAUUUUACGACACAACUACAUGGAGUCCUAUGCAGUUUACGCACACGCCUGCUAAAUUUCCAUACUCUUCUAUGGUCGGCCGCGCCUUGCAGAUCUACUCUAUCAAAAUCGUCAACCUCAAUCCCAAUCUUGACUGGCCUCUCCAUGUCUACGGCGUGGUUGCCGCACGAGACUGCUUUGACCACAACCGCAACAUUCUCUUCCACCGGUCCGAGGCUAACUGCCAACGAGACCCUUUUUUGCAUUUGAUCGGCCCGUCUCGUGCAAUUGUGGCUGAAGAUCGUGUUAGGUUUGAAGUCCAACUAAAAAUGAAGUACGGAGCAGAGUCCAAAGAUACAGCAUUGUUCACUUCCAGCUAUAGUUACGGUUUUGACAGGCGGUGCUCCACCAUUCUGAUCUACAGCCGUUGUUGUAUGGCAGAGUUAAGCCUUGAGGGGCUUACUAAAGCAAUCCAGGCCACCAUUGUUGGUGUUCGCGUUGUCAAAGGAAAGUGGCCUUGUAAGUAUGGAUGCCAAGUUUCUUGCUCCUUGUCUCCUGUAGUAGAGGAGGCUAUUGAUUCCAUGCCUAUGGAAGUUGUGUUGCUUGAAUCUCGCGGCAAAGAAAUGCCUGCACGUUCAGAUGGUUACAUACAUUUAUCAAGGAAUGUGGUUUCGGUGGAUACACAUAGUACAUUGAAAGUUUGCAUACAAGCUUACUCGAAUGCUGGUUCCACUCCUCUACAGGGUCAUGUGAACUUUCCUGUACAGCAAUGCCAAGUAAGCAAGCGGAAAUGCUCACUUGGCAACUCUAGGGUGGUGGAGAUCAUUGUUGCUUGGUCCCUCCUUCCCAUGGACGAGCUUGGCUAG